UCGAGGGGUAACAGAGUUUGCUUGCAAACUGCUGACGACCGGCGCACGGGUGCGGAACGCGUAUGGAACCUGCCCCUGUCAGGGGAAUAGCCCAGAGAAAUUUGGAUUAAUGCCCCAUGGUAUCCCGAUACUGCCUGGUAUUGGGAUUAAAGAUUUAUCGGACAGGGAUGGCCAUGCGUACCAUUAGCUAGUUGGUGGGGCAACGGCCCACCAAGGCAACGAUGGUUAGGGGCCCUGAGAGGGGGAUCCCCCACACUGGUACUGAGACACGGACCAGACUCCUACGGGAGGCAGCAGUGAGGAAUAUUGGACAAUGGUCGGGAGACUGAUCCAGCCAUGCCGCGUGCAGGAUGACGGCCCUAUGGGUUGUAAACUGCUUUUGUACGGGAAGAAACCCAUCUACGUGUAGAUGGCUGACGGUACCGUAAGAAUAAGGACCGGCUAACUCCGUGCCAGCAGCCGCGGUAAUACGGAGGGUCCGAGCGUUAUCCGGAAUCAUUGGGUUUAAAGGGUCCGUAGGCGGGCCCAUAAGUCAGGGGUGAAAGGCCACGGCUCAACCGUGGGACUGCCUUUGAUACUGUGUGUCUUGAGUCGUUGUGGGGUUGCCGGAACAUGUGGUGUAGCGGUGAAAUGCAUAGAUAUCACAUAGAACACCGAUCGCGAAGGCAGGUGACCAACAACGUACUGACGCUGAUGGACGAAAGCGUGGGUAGCGAACGGGAUUAGAUACCCCGGUAGUCCACGCCGUAACGAUGGACACUAGCUGUGGGGACUUCGGUCUCC
RNAcentral lists this ribosomal RNA (783 nucleotides) under uncultured bacterium. RNAcentral describes it as "bacterial SSU rRNA". It matches the Rfam family "Bacterial small subunit ribosomal RNA", at positions 62 to 842 of the family's 1533-position model. The record is from RNAcentral.